GGCUGCAACUCGCCUGCAUGAAGCCGGAAUCGCUAGUAAUCGCGGAUCAGCAUGCCGCGGUGAAUACGUUCCCGGGUCUUGUACACACCGCCCGUCACACCAUGGAAGCUGGUUAUACCCGAAGUCGUUACUCUAACCGUUUGGAGGAGGAUGCCUAAGGUAGAAUUAGUGACUAGGGUGAAGUCGGAACAAGGUAACCGUACUGAAGGUGCGGUUGGAUCACCUCCUU
RNAcentral lists this ribosomal RNA (229 nucleotides) under Pseudo-nitzschia australis. Its description in RNAcentral is "partial Bacterial small subunit ribosomal RNA". It matches the Rfam family "Bacterial small subunit ribosomal RNA", at positions 1303 to 1532 of the family's 1533-position model. Lineage: Eukaryota; Bacillariophyta; Bacillariophyceae; Bacillariales; Bacillariaceae. The record is from RNAcentral.